UACGUAGGGGGCAAGCGUUAUCCGGAUUUACUGGGUGUAAAGGGAGCGUAGGUGGCAAGGCAAGUCAGAAGUGAAACCCUCGGGCUCAACCUGAGGCAUGCUUUUGAAACUGUCAAGCUGGAGUGCUGGAGUGGUAAGCGGAAUUCCUAGUGUAGCGGUGAAAUGCGUAGAUAUUAGGAGGAACACCGGUGGCGAAGGCGGCUUACUGGACAGUAACUGACACUGAGGCUCGAAAGCGUGGGGAGCAAACAGG
Molecule: ribosomal RNA, 253 nt
Filed under: uncultured bacterium
Lineage: Bacteria
Description: partial 16S ribosomal RNA
Rfam family: Bacterial small subunit ribosomal RNA
Source: RNAcentral